RNAcentral lists this ribosomal RNA (253 nucleotides) under uncultured bacterium. Its description in RNAcentral is "partial 16S ribosomal RNA". It matches the Rfam family "Bacterial small subunit ribosomal RNA", at positions 524 to 776 of the family's 1533-position model. The record is from RNAcentral.
UACGGGGGGGGCAAGCGUUGUUCGGAAUUACUGGGCGUAAAGGGCUCGUAGGCGGCCAACUAAGUCAGACGUGAAAUCCCUCGGCUUAACCGGGGAACUGCGUCUGAUACUGGAUGGCUUGAGUUUGGGAGAGGGAUGCGGAAUUCCAGGUGUAGCGGUGAAAUGCGUAGAUAUCGUUUGGAACGCCAAUGGUGAAAACAAGUAGCUGGGGAUGUGCCGACGCUGAGACACGAAAGCCAGGGGAGCGAACGGG